UGGAAGUGCCAGUGGUAGAAGAGAGAAAUGAGAAGCAAAAAUCCUAAGAGGAGGAAAUUCAUUAUAAAAAAAUUGAGUAUUAGCGACGGCUAAUUGUCAUCACUAAUAGUUAGUUUGUCGUCACUAAUGCCAAGCCGUCGCUAAAAAUCCGAUAGAAAUACCUUAAUCGUUAAUUAUCGAUAAUUAGUAAUGGCAUGCCAUCGC
This 204-nucleotide long non-coding RNA is filed under the name Elaeis guineensis (African oil palm). RNAcentral's name for it is "long non-coding RNA (EGUI_LNC045534)". The record is from RNAcentral. Lineage: Eukaryota; Viridiplantae; Streptophyta; Magnoliopsida; Arecales; Arecaceae.